Molecule: long non-coding RNA, 633 nt
Organism: Aethalodelphis obliquidens (Pacific white-sided dolphin)
Lineage: Eukaryota; Metazoa; Chordata; Mammalia; Artiodactyla; Delphinidae
Exons: 5
Source: RefSeq, a predicted model, not a curated record
GAAGCGGCAGGGGCCAAAAAAAUAAUGCCCGGCUUUUGACUUUGAAGUUCGUUCGCAUUUCACAACCUCCUUAACAAUUGCUCGGUGUGCCCAGUAAGCUGUACGACUACCUACCUUACAAACUAAAUAAGACAGAAGUGAUGGUGUGUGACCUCUGAGACUAAGCCAUAGAAGGCAAGGCAACUUCCUUCUUGCUCACUUUUGGAUCACUCCCUCCGGGGGAAGCAAGCUGUCACAUCAUGAAGAUUCUCAAUCAACCCAAUGGAGAAGCCCACAUGGUGAGGAAAGGAGGUCUCCUGCCAACGGCCAGCUUUACCAUGGAAUAGUUGAUAUCCAAAAGCUGCACGUAUUUAAUGGAUAAAUUUGAUGAGUUUGGACCCAUGCAAACAGCCGUAAAACCAGCAGCACAAUCAAGGUUGCAAAGCCUCUACAAACCCAUUUCUGAAGUCAGGUGGUGACACUGAUCAGCUGGCAGGCUGAAUAGGAGGAAGCCAGCCUAGCGUUUUCUGCAGAACAGCGCCUGGAAAUGACAUUGGGGUCCAGUGACUGGUGGGAGACCCAGAGCGAGGUGAAGAUCUGGAUUCAGGAAGAUGUUAUGGAUAGUUCUAAAAAUAAAUAUUUCCACCAAGCGUA